Molecule: ribosomal RNA, 433 nt
Filed under: uncultured bacterium
Lineage: Bacteria
Description: bacterial SSU rRNA
Rfam family: Bacterial small subunit ribosomal RNA
Source: RNAcentral
AACGAACGCUGGCGGCAUGCCUAACACAUGCAAGUCGAACGAGACCUUCGGGUCUAGUGGCGCACGGGUGCGUAACGCGUGGGAAUCUGCCCCUCGGUUCGGAAUAACACAGAGAAAUUUGUGCUAAUACCGGAUGAUGACUUCGGUCCAAAGAUUUAUCGCCGAGGGAUGAGCCCGCGUAGGAUUAGCUUGUUGGUGGGGUAAUGGCCUACCAAGGCGACGAUCCUUAGCUGGUCUGAGAGGAUGAUCAGCCACACUGGGACUGAGACACGGCCCAGACUCCUACGGGAGGCAGCAGUGAGGAAUAUUGGACAAUGGGCGAAAGCCUGAUCCAGCAAUGCCGCGUGAGUGAUGAAGGCCUUAGGGUUGUAAAGCUCUUUUACCAGGGAUGAUAAUGACAGUACCUGGAGAAUAAGCUCCGGCUAACUCCGUG